RNAcentral lists this ribosomal RNA (445 nucleotides) under uncultured bacterium. RNAcentral's name for it is "partial 16S ribosomal RNA". It matches the Rfam family "Bacterial small subunit ribosomal RNA", at positions 354 to 796 of the family's 1533-position model. The record is from RNAcentral.
GUGAGGAAUAUUGCGCAAUGGAGGCAACUCUGACGCAGUCAUGCCGCGUGCAGGAAGAAGGCGCUACGCGUUGUAAACUGCUUUUAACCGGGAAGAAACCCCAGGACGUGUCCUGGGUUGACGGUACCGGAGGAAUAAGCACCGGCUAACUUCGUGCCAGCAGCCGCGGUAAUACGAAGGGUGCAAGCGUUAUCCGGAUUCAUUGGGUUUAAAGGGUGCGUAGGCGGAGCGUUAAGUCAGUGGUGAAAUCCUGCAGCUUAACUGUAGACUUGCCAUUGAUACUGGCGCUCUUGAGUGCGCUUGAAGUGGGCGGAAUGUGCCGUGUAGCGGUGAAAUGCUUAGAUAUGGCACAGAACACCAAUUGCGAAGGCAGCUCACUAAGGCGAUACUGACGCUGAGGCACGAAAGCGUGGGGAUCGAACAGGAUUAGAUACCCGGGUAGUCC